UACAGAGGUCCCAAGCGUUGUUCGGAUUCACUGGGCGUAAAGGGUGCGUAGGUGGUUGGGUAAGUCUGAUGUGAAAUCUCCGAGCUUAACUCGGAAACUGCAUCGGAUACUAUUCGGCUCGAGGGUUGGAGGGGGGACUGGAAUACUUGGUGUAGCAGUGAAAUGCGUAGAUAUCAAGUGGAACACCAGUGGCGAAGGCGAGUCCCUGGACAACUCCUGACACUGAGGCACGAAAGCUAGGGGAGCAAACAGG
This 253-nucleotide ribosomal RNA is filed under the name uncultured bacterium. Its description in RNAcentral is "partial 16S ribosomal RNA". It matches the Rfam family "Bacterial small subunit ribosomal RNA", at positions 524 to 776 of the family's 1533-position model. The record is from RNAcentral.